UAGCCAUGUGAUAAGCAAAUAAUGAACUAUUCUUUCGCCUUUUACUAAAGAGUAUUGUGCGCAUCUCACUUAAAGUGGGCGUGUGCUUAUUUUUUGAGGGUUUCUUCUUAUGGAGGGU
Molecule: non-coding RNA, 118 nt
Organism: Lupinus albus (white lupine)
Lineage: Eukaryota; Viridiplantae; Streptophyta; Magnoliopsida; Fabales; Fabaceae
Source: the annotation of a GenBank genome assembly